AGAACGAACGCUGGCGGCAUGCCUAACACAUGCAAGUCGAACGAGACCUUCGGGUCUAGUGGCGCACGGGUGCGUAACGCGUGGGAACCUGCCUUUAGGUUCGGAAUAACUCAGAGAAAUUUGAGCUAAUACCGGAUAAUGUCUUCGGACCAAAGAUUUAUCGCCUUUAGAUGGGCCCGCGUAGGAUUAGCUUGUUGGUGGGGUAAUGGCCUACCAAGGCGACGAUCCUUAGCUGGUCUGAGAGGAUGAUCAGCCACACUGGGACUGAGACACGGCCCAGACUCCUACGGGAGGCAGCAGUGGGGAAUAUUGGACAAUGGGCGAAAGCCUGAUCCAGCAAUGCCGCGUGAGUGAUGAAGGCCUUAGGGUUGUAAAGCUCUUUUACCCGGGAUGAUAAUGACAGUACCGGAGAAUAAGCUCCGGCUAACUCCGCGCCAGCAGCCGC
Molecule: ribosomal RNA, 445 nt
Filed under: uncultured soil bacterium
Lineage: Bacteria
Description: bacterial SSU rRNA
Rfam family: Bacterial small subunit ribosomal RNA
Source: RNAcentral